Molecule: transfer RNA, 72 nt
Filed under: Ovis aries (sheep)
Lineage: Eukaryota; Metazoa; Chordata; Mammalia; Artiodactyla; Bovidae
Rfam family: tRNA
About the family: Transfer RNA (tRNA) molecules are approximately 80 nucleotides in length. Their secondary structure includes four short double-helical elements and three loops (D, anti-codon, and T loops). Further hydrogen bonds mediate the characteristic L-shaped molecular structure. tRNAs have two regions of fundamental functional importance: the anti-codon, which is responsible for specific mRNA codon recognition, and the 3' end, to which the tRNAs corresponding amino acid is attached (by aminoacyl-tRNA synthetases). tRNAs cope with the degeneracy of the genetic code in two manners: having more than one tRNA (with a specific anti-codon) for a particular amino acid; and 'wobble' base-pairing, i.e. permitting non-standard base-pairing at the 3rd anti-codon position.
Source: Rfam by way of RNAcentral
UCCCUGGUGUCUCAGUGGUAAAGAAUCUGCCUGCCAGUGCAGGAGACACGGGUUUGAUCCCUGAUCUGGGAA